This 585-nucleotide ribosomal RNA is filed under the name uncultured Glomeromycotina. RNAcentral's name for it is "LSU rRNA". It matches the Rfam family "Eukaryotic large subunit ribosomal RNA", at positions 204 to 637 of the family's 3401-position model. Lineage: Eukaryota; Fungi; Glomeromycota. The record is from RNAcentral.
CAUGGAGGGUGAGAAUCCCGUCCGGCUGACCUUCAGGACGUUUUACGAUACGCUCUCAAAGAGUCGAGUUGUUUGGGAUUGCAGCUCAAAAUGGGAGGUAAAUUUCUCCUAAGGCUAAAUAUUGGCGAGAGACCGAUAGCGAACAAGUACCGUGAGGGAAAGAUGAAAAGAACUUUGAAAAGAGAGUUAAACAGUACGUGAAAUUGUUGAAAGGGAAACGAUUGAAGCCAGUCGUACCGACGGGAAUUCAACUUCUCGAGUGCUAAUCGUGGGUGACGUUGAGCCUCACGGCCUUCGUUGCUUGUGUUGUUGGUGCUUUUGGGGUGUACUUUUCCGUAUGGUAGGUCAGCAUCGAUUUCGAUCGUCAUAAAAUGAUCGGGGGAAUGUAGCUUCGGUCUCGUAUCGGAGUGUUAUAGACCUUGGUAGAUGUGACGAUUGGGAUCGAGGAUUGCAACGAAUACCCUCUGGGCUAUCCGUCUGACCUCUGAAAGUCGCUCGGGUGUCGAAAGCGUGCUUAUGGCUAUUCGAGUUGGCGGUCAACAGGUUAGAACGUGAUUACAUUCGUUAAGGAUGUUGACGUAAUGG